This is a long non-coding RNA of Saccostrea cuccullata (small rock oyster), 1419 nucleotides long. RefSeq lists it as uncharacterized. Lineage: Eukaryota; Metazoa; Mollusca; Bivalvia; Ostreida; Ostreidae. The record is from RefSeq and is a predicted model, not a curated record. The transcript is spliced from 7 exons.
AAUUACAUCGGGAUCGAAGUCGGGCUCGAAAAGCAAUUUAUUUAAAAACAACACACCGCGCCGAAAUUCAAUUUUUUGGAGAGUUCCACGCAGCCAUGUUGAAUUUUGAUCAUGAUGUUGUACGGGAGGAAGGGGCGAAAGAGAGUUACUCGAAAAGGAGAAGCAUGAUAAACUUUGGAUGGAAUUUAUGUUUUAAUAGAAGAUGAAGACAUUUACGACCCUGUUUAGCGUUGCAGUGUGGACUGUGCCUGAGACGAUUCCCCAUAACGCCGGCUAUGUAGACAGCUUGUGAAAAUGGAAUCCAAAUGCUCACAAGAAAUGACAAAAGCAGUACGAAGAUUAACACAACGAAAUUGUGCCAGAAAAGUUUGAAGUACUUAGCUAUGGGAAUGAUCAACAUUGAACUUGCUGAGGCUCUCUUCCUGAAAGUGACUUGACCAGAUAUUUGGCUACCCAGUAUGAGUAUCUUUCUGCUACAUUAAAUAAAAUAUCGUGGAGGAACACGAAGAAAAGGGCUGCGCACCUCAACAUAUUCAAGGUCAAGCAGCUUUUUACCAUAUCCAUAGUAUCUUGCUGCUAAAUGAAAGAAUUAGUGUGGAGGAGCAGAGAAAAGGGCACCUCAACAUGUUCAAGGUCAAGCAGAAAUUAGGAGCUAGGGGUGCUUCUCCAGAGCUGAAAACUUCUUGGCAUGAAGAGAAGAAGAAGCAAGAAAAAGCAGUUUUAAAUAUUGAUUACAUUUUCAUAGUACAAAAAAUGAUUCUAAAGAUAAUACUAUCUAUGAAAUUAGAAGCUGAAGUUGCGUUCUGAUGAAUGUGAGAAUGUCUUCAAAGAACAGGACACCAAAAGUGCCAUUCUCAAAUCAAAGCACUCUAAAAGGCAGAGCAUAAGAAGAACUAGGACAAAUAAAGAAUCUAAAAGAGUCAAACCUAUGGAUGUAUUAAUUGAACAGAGAUGGGCUAUUAGAGAUGAAAUAUCUGAGUUGCUACUGUUUUGCACAAAUUAAAUUUUAGAUAAGAAAAAUAUACCUAGUGUUGUAUUUUUGACAGUGAAAGUUUUUUCUUAUGCUUGAUUUCAGAUUAAAACUGUUAUGUAUUUUAUUGUUUAAACAUUUAUUGGUCUGCAAUCACAUACAUUUUAAUCUUGAUUUAUAUAUCACAUAUAUGUACAAGUCUAACUUGAAUAAUAAGUGCAUGGACAUUUUUGUGGAAAAAAUAAGACAAUCAUGAUCAAGGGUAGUCUGAAAGAGCUUUGCUGGCAGUAAGUUGCAGAUCUUGAUACCCAAGUAAGAGAAAGGUGGCGUCUCUGACCGAUCCUUUUGCUGUUGCUUGUGGGCGAGUGAGGCUUCUCUGUCAGUGGCUUAGUGAGUCAUAGAUGUAAAAAAUAGAAUAGGCAAAUGAGGUAGAGACAUUUAUGAGUAAA